RNAcentral lists this transfer RNA (75 nucleotides) under Chloroflexota bacterium. RNAcentral describes it as "tRNA-Arg". It matches the Rfam family "tRNA". Rfam says of the family: Transfer RNA (tRNA) molecules are approximately 80 nucleotides in length. The record is from RNAcentral. RNAcentral also lists the same sequence under 1 other name. Lineage: Bacteria; Bacillati; Chloroflexota.
GGAUUCAUAGCUCAGCAUGGAUAGAGCGGGUGGCUUCGGACCACCAGGUCGGGGGUUCAAAUCCUCCUGGGUCCG